Molecule: long non-coding RNA, 641 nt
Organism: Eucalyptus grandis
Lineage: Eukaryota; Viridiplantae; Streptophyta; Magnoliopsida; Myrtales; Myrtaceae
Exons: 3
Source: RefSeq, a predicted model, not a curated record
CUGUCAAAGGGUCAAGGACUAUGAGAUCUACAAAGUGAUCAUCUGACUGUACAAUAGUAACAUCAAACAGGCCAGUCCAGAACACAGCAAGUCCACUUAAGAAGCCAAGUGGAUCUUUCAAAAAAGAGUGAGGGAAGUGAAAUCUUCGCUGUAAGCUAGUCACAACUUUCUAUACAUUCUUUGUUUCCAUUAGAAAAACGAUGUCGGGCUUUUCAGAGGCUAACAAUGCCUUCAGUGCUUGAAUUGUCAGGGGAUUGCCAACCCCUAACAAUUCCAACUCAGGAGUUUCAUUUGGAAACGAUGGCUGUUGAGGGCCAGCCACUAAAGCCCAAGGAGCAGGAUUGUCUGCCACAAUCAUAGGAGUGUCCAUAAGGUGGGUUUCAUCAAAGUCUGCAGAGUAAUUAAGUCGAGUGUCAUAAGAGUUCAGAUGCGUGAAAGUCCCUGGUGGUAGAACAGGGGCCAAAACAGGGGCCUCUGAUGCAAGAAUGGGAGGGAGAGCUGGGAUAAUGGCCUGCAUAGCUGGAGGGGUUUCAGGUCUAAUUCUAUGCGGACUCUCCCAGAUGUAUCCGGUUUCACUUCCAGAACUCGACCCACCUGUUGCACGGCUCUUCGAAGAAGCGGUGGAGUAGUCCACUCCAAAG